ACUAAGCGUACACGGUGGAUGCCCUGGCAGUCAGAGGCGAUGAAGGACGUGCUAAUCUGCGAUAAGCGUCGGUAAGGUGAUAUGAACCGUUAUAACCGGCGAUUUCCGAAUGGGGAAACCCAGUGUGAUUCGUCACACUAUCAUUAACUGAAUCCAUAGGUUAAUGAGGCGAACCGGGGGAACUGAAACAUCUAAGUACCCCGAGGAAAAGAAAUCAACCGAGAUUCCCCCAGUAGCGGCGAGCGGACGGGGAGCAGCCCAGAGCCUGAAUCAGUGUGUGUGUUAGUGGAAGCGUCUGGAAAGGCGUGCGAUACAGGGUGACAGCCCCGUACACAAAAAUGCACAUAUUGUGAGCUUGAUGAGUAGGGCGGGACACGUGGUAUCCUGUCUGAAUAUGGGGGGACCAUCCUCCAAGGCUAAAUACUCCUGACUGACCGAUAGUGAACCAGUACCGUGAGGGAAAGGCGAAAAGAACCCCGGCGAGGGGAGUGAAAAAGAACCUGAAACCGUGUACGUACAAGCAGUGGGAGCACGCUUAGGCGUGUGACUGCGUACCUUUUGUAUAAUGGGUCAGCGACUUAUAUUCUGUAGCAAGGUUAACCGAAUAGGGGAGCCGAAGGGAAACCGAGUCUUAACUGGGCGUUAAGUUGCAGGGUAUAGACCCGAAACCCGGUGAUCUAGCCAUGGGCAGGUUGAAGGUUGGGUAACACUAACUGGAGGACCGAACCGACUAAUGUUGAAAAAUUAGCGGAUGACUUGUGGCUGGGGGUGAAAGGCCAAUCAAACCGGGAGAUAGCUGGUUCUCCCCGAAAGCUAUUUAGGUAGCGCCUCGUGAAUUCAUCUCCGGGGGUAGAGCACUGUUUCGGCAAGGGGGUCAUCCCGACUUACCAACCCGAUGCAAACUGCGAAUACCGGAGAAUGUUAUCACGGGAGACACACGGCGGGUGCUAACGUCCGUCGUGAAGAGGGAAACAACCCAGACCGCCAGCUAAGGUCCCAAAGUCAUGGUUAAGUGGGAAACGAUGUGGGAAGGCCCAGACAGCCAGGAUGUUGGCUUAGAAGCAGCCAUCAUUUAAAGAAAGCGUAAUAGCUCACUGGUCGAGUCGGCCUGCGCGGAAGAUGUAACGGGGCUAAACCAUGCACCGAAGCUGCGGCAGCGACGCUUAUGCGUUGUUGGGUAGGGGAGCGUUCUGUAAGCCUGCGAAGGUGUGCUGUGAGGCAUGCUGGAGGUAUCAGAAGUGCGAAUGCUGACAUAAGUAACGAUAAAGCGGGUGAAAAGCCCGCUCGCCGGAAGACCAAGGGUUCCUGUCCAACGUUAAUCGGGGCAGGGUGAGUCGACCCCUAAGGCGAGGCCGAAAGGCGUAGUCGAUGGGAAACAGGUUAAUAUUCCUGUACUUGGUGUUACUGCGAAGGGGGGACGGAGAAGGCUAUGUUGGCCGGGCGACGGUUGUCCCGGUUUAAGCGUGUAGGCUGGUUUUCCAGGCAAAUCCGGAAAAUCAAGGCUGAGGCGUGAUGACGAGGCACUACGGUGCUGAAGCAACAAAUGCCCUGCUUCCAGGAAAAGCCUCUAAGCAUCAGGUAACAUCAAAUCGUACCCCAAACCGACACAGGUGGUCAGGUAGAGAAUACCAAGGCGCUUGAGAGAACUCGGGUGAAGGAACUAGGCAAAAUGGUGCCGUAACUUCGGGAGAAGGCACGCUGAUAUGUAGGUGAAGUCCCUCGCGGAUGGAGCUGAAAUCAGUCGAAGAUACCAGCUGGCUGCAACUGUUUAUUAAAAACACAGCACUGUGCAAACACGAAAGUGGACGUAUACGGUGUGACGCCUGCCCGGUGCCGGAAGGUUAAUUGAUGGGGUCAGCGCAAGCGAAGCUCUUGAUCGAAGCCCCGGUAAACGGCGGCCGUAACUAUAACGGUCCUAAGGUAGCGAAAUUCCUUGUCGGGUAAGUUCCGACCUGCACGAAUGGCGUAAUGAUGGCCAGGCUGUCUCCACCCGAGACUCAGUGAAAUUGAACUCGCUGUGAAGAUGCAGUGUACCCGCGGCAAGACGGAAAGACCCCGUGAACCUUUACUAUAGCUUGACACUGAACAUUGAGCCUUGAUGUGUAGGAUAGGUGGGAGGCUUUGAAGUGUGGACGCCAGUCUGCAUGGAGUCGACCUUGAAAUACCACCCUUUAAUGUUUGAUGUUCUAACGUGGACCCGUGAUCCGGGUUGCGGACAGUGUCUGGUGGGUAGUUUGACUGGGGCGGUCUCCUCCUAAAGAGUAACGGAGGAGCACGAAGGUUGGCUAAUCCUGGUCGGACAUCAGGAGGUUAGUGCAAUGGCAUAAGCCAGCUUGACUGCGAGCGUGACGGCGCGAGCAGGUGCGAAAGCAGGUCAUAGUGAUCCGGUGGUUCUGAAUGGAAGGGCCAUCGCUCAACGGAUAAAAGGUACUCCGGGGAUAACAGGCUGAUACCGCCCAAGAGUUCAUAUCGACGGCGGUGUUUGGCACCUCGAUGUCGGCUCAUCACAUCCUGGGGCUGAAGUAGGUCCCAAGGGUAUGGCUGUUCGCCAUUUAAAGUGGUACGCGAGCUGGGUUUAGAACGUCGUGAGACAGUUCGGUCCCUAUCUGCCGUGGGCGCUGGAGAACUGAGGGGGGCUGCUCCUAGUACGAGAGGACCGGAGUGGACGCAUCACUGGUGUUCGGGUUGUCAUGCCAAUGGCACUGCCCGGUAGCUAAAUGCGGAAGAGAUAAGUGCUGAAAGCAUCUAAGCACGAAACUUGCCCCGAGAUGAGUUCUCCCUGACCCUUUAAGGGUCCUGAAGGAACGUUGAAGACGACGACGUUGAUAGGCCGGGUGUGUAAGCGCAGCGAUGCGUUGAGCUAACCGGUACUAAUGAACCGUGAGGCUUAACC
RNAcentral lists this ribosomal RNA (2893 nucleotides) under Shigella sonnei 53G. Its description in RNAcentral is "bacterial LSU rRNA". It matches the Rfam family "Bacterial large subunit ribosomal RNA". The record is from RNAcentral. Lineage: Bacteria; Pseudomonadati; Pseudomonadota; Gammaproteobacteria; Enterobacterales; Enterobacteriaceae.